Molecule: ribosomal RNA, 253 nt
Filed under: uncultured bacterium
Lineage: Bacteria
Description: partial 16S ribosomal RNA
Rfam family: Bacterial small subunit ribosomal RNA
Source: RNAcentral
UACGAAGGGGGCUAGCGUUGUUCGGAAUUACUGGACGUAAAGCGCACGUAGGCGGAUUGUUAAGUUAGGGGUGAAAUCCCUCGGCUCAACCGAGGAACUGCCUUGGAAACUGUCUGGCUUGAGGCCGGGAGAGGGUAGUGGAAUUCCCAGUGUAGCGGUGAAAUGCGUAGAUACUGGGAGGAACACCGGUGGCGAAGGCGGCUACCUGGACCGGUUCUGACGCUGAGGCGCGAAAGCGUGGGUAGCAAACAGG